Molecule: ribosomal RNA, 497 nt
Filed under: uncultured bacterium
Lineage: Bacteria
Description: partial 16S ribosomal RNA
Rfam family: Bacterial small subunit ribosomal RNA
Source: RNAcentral
GAUGAACGCUGGCGGCGUGCCUAAUACAUGCAAGUCGAGCGAACAGACGAGGAGCUUGCUCCUCUGACGUUAGCGGCGGACGGGUGAGUAACACGUGGAUAACCUACCUAUAAGACUGGGAUAACUUCGGGAAACCGGAGCUAAUACCGGAUAAUAUAUUGAACCGCAUGGUUCAAUAGUGAAAGACGGUUUUGCUGUCACUUAUAGAUGGAUCCGCGCCGCAUUAGCUAGUUGGUAAGGUAACGGCUUACCAAGGCAACGAUGCGUAGCCGACCUGAGAGGGGGAUCGGCCACACCGGAACUGGAACACGGUCCAGACUCCUACGGGAGGCAGCAGUAGGGAAUGUUCCGCAAUGGGCGAAAGCCUGACGGAGCAACGCCGCGUGAGUGGUGAAGGUCUUCGGAUCGUAAAACUCUGUUAUUAGGGAAGAACAAAUGUGUAAGUAACUAUGCACGUCUUGACGGUAACUAAUCAGAAAGCCACGGCUAACUACGUG